This is a long non-coding RNA of Cydia strobilella, 1414 nucleotides long. RefSeq lists it as uncharacterized. The transcript has 2 exons. The record is from RefSeq and is a predicted model, not a curated record. NCBI's taxonomy places the organism in Eukaryota, Metazoa, Arthropoda, Insecta, Lepidoptera, Tortricidae.
GUAGCAUGACAAAUACGAACGUAUCCUAGAAAAUACAAUGGAAAACAAUUAUGUACUAUAUCUGUAGCUAUGAAGCUCAUGAUAAAAUAUAAAUAAACAUGGUUUAAAUAUAAUGUUCGACAGUUGUAUAUUUAAUGUCAUCAUGUACACCAUUUGAGUCAUUUGUAUCACUUAGUCUCAGCACUAAUGUUACGAGAAAAUAAUCUGUGCAAUAAUUUAUGUGACGACAAAAGAGCGCAAGAGUCGUACAGAUACUUAGAUUUUAAUUUGUCUUUCGUGGUAGCAUAGCAAGUUUAAUAAAAAUAGCCAAAAUAUUUGAUAUAAUCCCUCACAUUCUCUCCAGUUUAACCUUUUGGCGGCAACAGUCGGCUGUGGCCGUCAUCGGAAAGUUUAGCCAACGACGGCUACAGCCGACAGCUUCGCCAAUGCAAUAGGGACUUACGCGGGACUCCGUAAAGUUCAAUUUAGCUUAAAUAAUCGCGAUCGCCUGGCGUCCGGGGCACGGCAUAUUCUUUCGCCGUCUGGCGUUCAAGUAAAUAUUUUGGCCACUUUUAUUAAUUAAUGUUUUUCAGAGUCGAGAUUAGGCUUCUGCUUGUUUGACUUUUAACAACACGAGGGACGAAUUUAAAAUUUAAUUCGUGUAUGACCUUAAAGUGAAAUACUAGUGGGGGAUAUUUAAUAAUACGGGGUGUUGCAAGGUAUCUCGGCGCACUAACUUAUAUUCGGGUAUCGGUCGGCUGCGGGCAUGUUAAGUCAUCUGGUUAUUGUUACUAUAAUUUUAUUUCGGGUUCAGACCUUUUGUAAAUUGCAACACCUUUGAAUAUAGUGAUGGCUUGUAUAUUUGUAUUUGUAAGAUAUGUUGGUUUACAAAUCAGUAUUUUAAUAUUUGUGUGACAUUCCAGAUUCUAUUGUAACAUUUUAUAAACUUAAAUUAGUUUCAUUUGCUGCAUCUUUAUUUCCAUAACUUGAAAUAGCUCUCUUUGUUGUUUCUUAAUAUGCAGUUGCAUGCAUAGAAAAAUGAUAAUUUGCCAAGAAUAAUGUAUUUAAGAAUUAAUAAGAUCUAUGUUGUUUUUUUAUUUGAUUUUUUCAUAUUUUCGGUAAUGAACUCAGUUGUAUUUAGAAACGUAUCGUCAUUUUCAGUUACGUUUAUUUUUGUGGUCGUGCUAUAUAUAUUAUUUAAACUACGGGGCUGUCGCGAGUACUGAGGUUAGAUUACUUGGGGAUAAAAGCAUUUUGUCUCUGUCUCACUGGAGUCGUGGGAAAGAGACAAAACAAAACCCUAUCGCAGGCUUGUUAAGACCUUCGAAUCGUGCGCCCAAGGUAGUACUUAUUGAUACUGCACUUUAUUUUAAUUAAGUUUUUUUUACUUGUGUUGUAUAAGUUUUACAUCAAAUACAGCGUGAUAUAUAUUUGA